GGGGCUAUAGCUCAGCUGGGAGAGCACCUGCCUUGCACGCAGGGGGUCAGCGGUUCGAUCCCGCUUAGCUCCA
Crenothrix polyspora is the source of this 73-nucleotide non-coding RNA. The record is from Rfam. NCBI's taxonomy places the organism in Bacteria, Pseudomonadati, Pseudomonadota, Gammaproteobacteria, Methylococcales, Crenotrichaceae.